Molecule: ribosomal RNA, 485 nt
Filed under: uncultured Saprospira sp.
Lineage: Bacteria; Pseudomonadati; Bacteroidota; Saprospiria; Saprospirales; Saprospiraceae
Description: bacterial SSU rRNA
Rfam family: Bacterial small subunit ribosomal RNA
Source: RNAcentral
GAUGAACGCUAGCGGCAGGCUUAAUACAUGCAAGUCGAACGGCAGCAUGGGACUUCGGUCCUGAUGGCGAGUGGCGCACGGGUGAGUAACGCGUACAAAAUCUGCCUAUAACUGGGGGAAAGUCGCUGGAAACGGCGAAUAAUCCCGCAUAAGAUAUGAUUACCGCAUGGUAGACAUAUUAAAGGCUUCGGUUGGUUAUAGAUGAUUGUGCGUUCCAUUAGCUAGAUGGUGAGGUAACGGCUCACCAUGGCGACGAUGGGUAGGGGGCGUGAGAGCGUGAUCCCCCACACGGGUACUGAGACACGGACCCGACUCCUACGGGAGGCAGCAGUAAGGAAUAUUGGUCAAUGGAGGGAACUCUGAACCAGCCAUGCCGCGUGUGUGAUGAAGGCCCUUCGGGUUGUAAAGCACUUUUGUCUGGGAAGAAUGGCUUUCAUUUAUGAAAGAAGAGACGGUACCAGAAGAAUAAGCACCGGCUAACUCCG